RNAcentral lists this long non-coding RNA (805 nucleotides) under Pongo abelii (Sumatran orangutan). Its description in RNAcentral is "lncRNA (ENSPPYG00000031815.1)". The record is from RNAcentral. Lineage: Eukaryota; Metazoa; Chordata; Mammalia; Primates; Hominidae.
UGGAGGGCUUGGGCCCUAUUUUUAUUUAUCUUUAUUUCUAUUCACAUGUAGCACAGUGCUAAAUAAAUGUUUGCGAAGUGUCAGCUGAGGUCAACCUACUCCACCAUAUUGCUCUCAGCUGGCUCUUCCAAAUUGAGAAUGUGGAGGAGGAAGAGGAUCUUUUUCUAGUUGCUGGGACUUGUUGCUUGAGACAAAGCUGUUUUUCUCAUUUCAGUGACAUAUACGUGACAGAUGAGGUUGAUGGACUACAGAAAUACAGAUUCUAACUCAGAUGAAAAGCUUAAAUUAUUCUGCAGUCCCACAGAAUUCAAGAAAGAAACUGAGAAGUUGGGAUUUCCAAGGACUUGAUGUUAGCAUUUUCGAAACACACGAUGAAAUCAACAACGAAACUUCAGGGCUCUAUUUACAUCAGAAGGGACAUCAAGUACCGCAAUGCUCACUAAAAAUGAAAUCCUACAGCUCGGACUGUCAACCCGCGUGGAGAAUGUAGAGCUGGCUUAAGGAACUCCUAGUAAAAACCAUCGGCAGUUGUUACCAUCCAAAAUUAAAAGAAAUUUUGUGAGCAUCUAAGAAGCAUUUGCAAAGUAACACUCAAGGUUUUGCAUUGAAAAAGAGGAAGUCUAAUGUCUGAAAAGAAUGUGACUCUGAGUUAUAAGGAGUUUUGAAAGAGAAUCCAGCUUGUGAAUUAGAGAGCCGAACUCAAGCCAGUUUCCUUUUAUAUUUCAUUGUAGUUUAACCUGUACUAUUUGAUCAAUCUUUGUAUAUUUCUUAGAUGAAAAAUGCACAUAUUUCCCAAAAGAACUGA